UACGUAGGGUGCAAGCGUUAAUCGGAAUUACUGGGCGUAAAGCGUGCGCAGGCGGUGAUGUAAGACAGGUGUGAAAUCCCCGGGCUUAACCUGGGAACUGCGCUUGUGACUGCAAGACUCGAGUACGGCAGAGGGGGGUGGAAUUCCACGUGUAGCAGUGAAAUGCGUAGAGAUGUGGAGGAACACCGAUGGCGAAGGCAGCCCCCUGGGUCGAUACUGACGCUCAUGCACGAAAGCGUGGGGAGCAAACAGG
Molecule: ribosomal RNA, 253 nt
Filed under: uncultured bacterium
Lineage: Bacteria
Description: partial 16S ribosomal RNA
Rfam family: Bacterial small subunit ribosomal RNA
Source: RNAcentral